CCUGAGAACCCGAAGAUCGAAUGGGGAGAUUCAUCGUUAACGGAGUUGGCUUCCAUGCGGUGCGCGAUGAUUCGCGGUCCUCCGUGGAUUACGCUGCUGCUGUGGUAUGUGUCCGGCUUCGUCGGCGUGCACUUCUCCCCUAGUAGAACGUCGCGACCCGUUGGGUGUCGAUUUAAGGUCCAAGAUGGCAGACUGUCUGCGUCGUCUUUGACGCACGAUGUCAGACUCUUGGUCACCUGAUCGACUGCUCGGCGGUAGUCAAUAUGGUAUUGAGCCGCACUCGAAUGCGUUCAGACUUGUCGCAAGCUUGAUCACUUUUAUUNAUCCUGGAGGUGCGGACCCAGUGCCGUCCCCGGGGGUGUUCGGUUGUUGGCGUUCAAUGUUCUCGAACCGGCUUAUCAACGCGCUUGCAUUGAUCAGCGAUACCUGUCAGCGACGCUAUUGCUUUGGGUACUUUCAGGACCCGUCUUGAAACACGGACCAAGGAGUCUAACGCGUACGCGAGUCAUUGUUAUUAUUGUGAAACCCAAAGGCGCAUUGAAAGAAAAGAUCGACCUCGCGUCGAUUCAGGGAGGAUGGGUGAUUGUAAUUUUUUUACGUUGCCCCGCACUCCCGGGGCGUUUCUUAAAGUCAUUGCGACUUGAGGCGCACCCAGAGCGUACACGUUGGGACCCGAAAGAUGGUGAACUAUGCCUGGUCAGGAUGAAGUCAGGGGAAACCCUGAUGGAGGUCCGUAGCGGGUCUGACGUGCUUAUCGAUCGUCGGAACUGGGUAUAG
Molecule: ribosomal RNA, 777 nt
Filed under: Paratelenomus saccharalis
Lineage: Eukaryota; Metazoa; Arthropoda; Insecta; Hymenoptera; Scelionidae
Description: eukaryotic LSU rRNA
Rfam family: Eukaryotic large subunit ribosomal RNA
Source: RNAcentral